This 691-nucleotide long non-coding RNA is filed under the name Paramuricea clavata. The record is from RNAcentral. Lineage: Eukaryota; Metazoa; Cnidaria; Anthozoa; Malacalcyonacea; Plexauridae.
GUCCGGCCAAAUUUUGAGAAAAAGAAAAAUGUUUUCUUAAUGAUCGGGUCGGUGCUCAGCACAGUGAGUACCAUCUGUAAGUUUGGAGUAUCUAUAUUAGGCUAAUAUAAAGUAAUCAACUGGAAAGUAUAGUUCACGGGCAGCCUAGUCCCUGGCCUUCCAAGCGCGGGCGAGUUACAGGCUGUUGUGAACUUGCGGGCUGUCAGUUUCCCCAGUCUCCAAAUAAUACAGCUUUAUCACGGUCAACCUGCAAACCUUAUCAAUUUCCCCCUAAAAUAAUGAGGCGGAAGCGAGAAGGCCAGGAACUAGGCUGGUUCACGGGCUCAAUAAACAAGAAGGUGGCUUACAGCGUGGUGUUGUCGUGAAAAUGUGAGGUGAGUCUUAAUAAUUUGCAAUUUAAAUCACCCGUCAAUCAAUUUAAAACACCCGUCGGCUCACGACCAUUUUGAAUUUUCGCUACAGUUACAAUUACCUUACACAAUUGCAAGUAGAGUGAUUUACUCAGUGCACGUCUGCAUGCUUGACAGAGUUUGCUCAUUGGGGGGGGGGGGGCGUGUGGACUUGGUCAAACUAAACUAAAAAAUAUUCCGGUCAAUUUUGCAAAUUUCCGGUCAAAUUUCGUUUUGAUCGGAAGUUUUUCCGGACAAAUUUUAAAAUUAUUUCAGGCUCUGGGUAUUUGUUUAGACACCGG